RNAcentral lists this ribosomal RNA (187 nucleotides) under Enterobacter hormaechei. RNAcentral's name for it is "partial 23S ribosomal RNA". It matches the Rfam family "Bacterial large subunit ribosomal RNA", at positions 2744 to 2925 of the family's 2925-position model. The record is from RNAcentral. RNAcentral also lists the same sequence under 3 other names. Lineage: Bacteria; Pseudomonadati; Pseudomonadota; Gammaproteobacteria; Enterobacterales; Enterobacteriaceae.
GGUAGCUAAAUGCGGAAGAGAUAAGUGCUGAAAGCAUCUAAGCACGAAACUUGCCCCGAGAUGAGUUCUCCCUGAGACUUUAAGUCUCCUGAAGGAACGUUGAAGACGACGACGUUGAUAGGUCGGGUGUGUAAGCGCAGCGAUGCGUUGAGCUAACCGAUACUAAUGAACCGUGAGGCUUAACCUU